This 109-nucleotide ribosomal RNA is filed under the name Pteropus alecto (black flying fox). Lineage: Eukaryota; Metazoa; Chordata; Mammalia; Chiroptera; Pteropodidae. The record is from RNAcentral. RNAcentral also lists the same sequence under 1 other name.
GUCUACGGCCAUGCCACCCUGAACAUGCCCGAUCUCAUCUGAUUUCGGAAGCUAAGCAGGGUCGGGCCUGGUUAGUAUUUGGAUGGGAGACAACCAGGUGCCGUAGGCU